This 486-nucleotide ribosomal RNA is filed under the name Peribacillus simplex. Its description in RNAcentral is "bacterial SSU rRNA". It matches the Rfam family "Bacterial small subunit ribosomal RNA", at positions 9 to 477 of the family's 1533-position model. Lineage: Bacteria; Bacillati; Bacillota; Bacilli; Caryophanales; Bacillaceae. The record is from RNAcentral.
GAGAUUUGAUCCUGGCUCAGGACGAACGCUGGCGGCGUGCCUAAUACAUGCAAGUCGAGCGAAUCGAUGGGAGCUUGCUCCCUGAGAUUAGCGGCGGACGGGUGAGUAACACGUGGGCAACCUGCCUAUAAGACUGGGAUAACUUCGGGAAACCGGAGCUAAUACCGGAUACGUUCUUUUCUCGCAUGAGAGAAGAUGGAAAGACGGUUUACGCUGUCACUUAUAGAUGGGCCCGCGGCGCAUUAGCUAGUUGGUGAGGUAAUGGCUCACCAAGGCGACGAUGCGUAGCCGACCUGAGAGGGUGAUCGGCCACACUGGGACUGAGACACGGCCCAGACUCCUACGGGAGGCAGCAGUAGGGAAUCUUCCGCAAUGGACGAAAGUCUGACGGAGCAACGCCGCGUGAACGAAGAAGGCCUUCGGGUCGUAAAGUUCUGUUGUUAGGGAAGAACAAGUACCAGAGUAACUGCUGGUACCUUGACGGUA